Molecule: long non-coding RNA, 420 nt
Filed under: Ursus thibetanus thibetanus
Lineage: Eukaryota; Metazoa; Chordata; Mammalia; Carnivora; Ursidae
Description: lncRNA (ENSUTTG00000001092.1)
Source: RNAcentral
GUUUUUCAACCAAAUAAAAGCAUCUGCAUUCUUACUUUAGACUGCUAACUAAGAUCCCAUAUAGAUGAUGAUCAUCGUGAGAGAAGUGAUUUUUUUCUCAUCGCUUUUGUGUAUCUCUGAAGUUCCUACUCUGAGCCUGAGAGCUGGGAGGUGGCCACUGUGAGAUGGUGAUAUUUAGACAAGACUGGAAUGGUCAAAAGAGGCAGCCAGGUGAAGACCUGUGGAAAGAAUCUUCCAUUUCAGAAAGAAAAGCAAGUGCAAAUUCCCCAGACAAGCUUGGCCUUUUCAAGUGAAAGAAGAUUGGCAGAGCUAGAUCAUGAAGAAGCUGUUUCUAGAAAUUGGGAAACACUUCCCAUGAAAUCAGAAAGUUAUCUCAGCAUCAUCAGAUGGGAAAAUGUGGAUGGAACCUAUAGAAGAUGA